This 1095-nucleotide long non-coding RNA is filed under the name Gallus gallus (chicken). Lineage: Eukaryota; Metazoa; Chordata; Aves; Galliformes; Phasianidae. The record is from RNAcentral.
UGCGGCCCCACAAGUGUGGGUUUCCCACCCCCGUGUUGGCACUGGGGCUCACACCCCGCUCUCACCAUCUCCUCGUCCGUCUCUAUGGUAGCCAGGGAAGCUCCGAGGCGGUGGCAGUGCUCCCUGCUGCUGUUCCAAUCACUCUCCGUGUCCGAGAAAUAAUAGCAUUUCCCUUGGAAACCGAUUGAGGUGUUGGGGCACACGUGGGAGAAGGGUGGGCGAGGUGAGCACGACGGACGCUGGAGCACUAUCACGGCCACCAGCGCCGAAACAAGGAUGCACGGCACUGCACACAAAGCCACGCAGAGCACGCGGCGCCUGUUCUGUCUCAGCUCACUGCAUCUGGAGCCUCUCUGAGACUGCCGUUCUUCGUCUCCUUCGCGCGUCGUCGCCUCUCGGGUGGGGAAGUGCUCAGCCGCUCUCUUUCUUCCAUAGCAGCACGGAGGUGCGGGACUGCGCCCAUCGUGUGCGGGGAGAGGGGCAGAGAAGGGUCGGGCUGAGGGCACAGCGGUGCCGGCGGAGCGCUCUUCUUAGCGAGGACCUCACGGAGGGAUCGUGGCGGAAAGCUGAAAAACAGCCGCAUACUGCAGUGGGCACAGCGGUACCGAAGGCACUCAGUCGCAGUCGGGAAGCCGUCCGGGAACGCCGCCAACAGCCUGCUCGAUAUAAAGACGCGAUGGGCAGAGGGGCGGGGCGGGGGCGGUGCAGCAUUGCUAUUCCUCUUUCUAUUUGCUGUUUGUCUUUGCUAUUCCUGUGGUGGGUGGGGGCUCUCAAGGACUGACUGCGGUGGGGGCCAAAAUGAGCCUCGCUGAACUGAGUGAAGGGCAAAACCAGGUCCGUGCAGUAUAGAAAGAAGGGCUUCAUAGGAAGAAAAGAGAAAGCAGCUUCACAAGGUAGACAAGGGGCAAAUAGAGAUAGUUUAUGUAGAGAGUGUUAGAAAACAAGGGGUUCCAGGCACUUUCACAGGCGUUAGGUGCGAAAUAACAAGGAGAAUGAAGGCCAUAAAGAUAAGGACCGGAGAACAGCUCAAAGGUUGGCAGGGCGGUGAUGGGAUGUCUGAAGUGCGAGCUGAAACCGGUUUGGGGGAUGCCCCCC